AUGAACGCUGGCGGCGUGCCUAAUACAUGCAAGUCGAGCGAACGGACGAGAAGCUUGCUUCUCUGAUGUUAGCGGCGGACGGGUGAGAAACACGUGGAUAACCUACCUAUAAGACUGGGAUAACUUCGGGAAACCGGAGCUAAUACCGGAUAAUAUUUUGAACCGCAUGGUUCAAAAGUGAAAGACGGUCUUGCUGUCACUUAUAGAUGGAUCCGCGCUGCAUUAGCUAGUUGGUAAGGUAACGGCUUACCAAGGCAACGAUGCAUAGCCGACCUGAGAGGGUGAUCGGCCACACUGGAACUGAGACACGGUCCAGACUCCUACGGGAGGCAGCAGUAGGGAAUCUUCCGCAAUGGGCGAAAGCCUGACGGAGCAACGCCGCGUGAGUGAUGAAGGUCUUCGGAUCGUAAAACUCUGUUAUUAGGGAAGAACAUAUGUGUAAGUAACUGUGCACAUCUUGACGGUACCUAAUCAGAAAGCCACGGCUAACUACGUG
RNAcentral lists this ribosomal RNA (496 nucleotides) under uncultured bacterium. RNAcentral's name for it is "partial 16S ribosomal RNA". It matches the Rfam family "Bacterial small subunit ribosomal RNA", at positions 29 to 507 of the family's 1533-position model. The record is from RNAcentral.